This 200-nucleotide unclassified non-coding RNA is filed under the name Leptosphaeria sp. RNAcentral describes it as "partial internal transcribed spacer 2". The record is from RNAcentral. Lineage: Eukaryota; Fungi; Ascomycota; Dothideomycetes; Pleosporales; Leptosphaeriaceae.
UUAAGUUCAGCGGGUAUCCCUACCUGAUCCGAGGUCAAGCGUGAAAAAAAAAGGCUUGAUGGAUGCCAACAAACACAGUAGGAGGCGCAAAAUGUGCUGCGCUCCAACACCGUUCUGCCGGCUGCCAAUUGAUUUAAGGCGAGUCCCAUACAGAGAGAGUAGGACAAACACCCAACACCAAGCAGAGCUUGAAUGUACAA